CUCUGUUUUCAUGCAUGUGCUCAGAAGUGC
This 30-nucleotide non-coding RNA is filed under the name Rattus norvegicus (Norway rat). The record is from RNAcentral. Lineage: Eukaryota; Metazoa; Chordata; Mammalia; Rodentia; Muridae.